CAUUGAUCCACAUGAGCCAGAUAAAUGGAUACCUGAAGAUCCUAAUAAGCUACGAGCGGCUAGAAACCGUAUGAGGCAGCACUUGUAAACAAGAUUACCGGUAGGGACAGAAUUAGUGGUGCUCUAAAACAUUUGUUAACUUUCCUGGCCCUGGUAUGGUUGAAUAAUUGGUUCUCAAACCACACAAUUCUCCUGUUUGUUAUUUUUGUGGUUCUCCCUUUGUUGGCGUUAACCCAAAUACUGAACUUGGGAUGAAGGUUAUCUAUGAUCCAUUCCUUUUUUGACUUGUAAUAUAAGAUGAAUGCCAACUCUACAAUGAACUAAUGUAAUUCAACUAAUUGGCUGGUGGAAUCAUCUUAUAUAUUGUACAUAUGAAGAGGUGGGGUGUUCUUCGAUUGGAUUGGUAUUCGGUCCUCUUCUUUUGGACACCCUGAAAUUAUUUUAUGCCCCUUGGAUCUGUUUUAUAUUUCCUUGGCUUAUGUGUGCUUUUUGUAGGUUUUAUUGUCUUGGCUAUGUGAGUUUUUGGUAAAAUUGGAGAGCUUCGUUAUGUCUUGCGUCUUCAGCUUAUCCCAGAAGGCUCGAGUUCUUCAUGGCUUUCCUAAUUUAUCAGAGCUUCUUCUGUCUUGUGCUUUGUAACUGAGCGAGUAAGACAAAUCAGCUGAGGGAGCAUGGCCAUCAUUGACUGUCCACACCGCAAGUACAAUAGCAAAGUGAAUUGAUAUGAAUGGAAGUUCUUGAUGCUCGGUUGUCAUGGUGGACCUGGCAAUUUUAUUACAACCACGCGAAAUUAUUUGAAUCAAUAGAAGAAAACAGGUCAUGUCACCCAACCGUUGAAAUCAAUCUGGACAACAUUGUUUGGGGAAAAUGAUUCAGGACAGUUAGAAGCCCUCUCUGGAUGUUGCCACAUACAAUUUCAAGGAGAACCUCGUAAGGUACAAUACUGGUGGACUGGAAAAUACGCCGGUGAGGAAGGCGUAUCACAACCGCACCAAUUGGGCAAGUGUGUUCAAGGAGAAAAGAUUAUCAACUUUAUCCACUGACAUUUUAUCAAUGCUCAUGGUUGAUGUCUGAUGACACCUACCCUGCUGAUACUAAUCAUCUUAUCAUUCCUUACUCGAAGGCAAUUUUGCUGGAGCCUUCUUUAGCAAUUGCUCAAGGUACCGACUAGUAUUUGAACCGGAAUGAAGUUAGAAGGGUCGGGUACCAGUUAGGCAAAUAUGGUAUAUACUGGUGCGGUAUGUGAUUCAAAACUUUGAAUUUCAAGCUUCAGAGCACUGAGAGGCAGCCUGCUGCGACCUAUCACGAUCAAAUCUUGGAGUAGAAUAGCGUUUGUUGAUUCCACUAUGUUCUUUUAUUGUCAUCGUAUUGUAUACUUUCCACGUAGUUUAUGUGGUAGGUACGGAGCAAAAUAGGGACGGACGGAGGAGUAUUUGAAGAAUUUUAUUUAUUUGGAAAAAUCAUUUUUGUUGUAAUUUUGAGGGGGUUUUUUUUAUAGGC
This is a long non-coding RNA of Rhododendron vialii, 1497 nucleotides long. RefSeq lists it as uncharacterized. The transcript is spliced from 3 exons. NCBI's taxonomy places the organism in Eukaryota, Viridiplantae, Streptophyta, Magnoliopsida, Ericales, Ericaceae. The record is from RefSeq and is a predicted model, not a curated record.